Molecule: microRNA, 22 nt
Filed under: Oryzias latipes (Japanese medaka)
Lineage: Eukaryota; Metazoa; Chordata; Actinopteri; Beloniformes; Adrianichthyidae
Description: ola-miR-99
Gene: ola-miR-99
Source: miRBase by way of RNAcentral
CAAGCUCGCCUCUGUGGGUCUC